UGGCGUGUGAGUGGUGUUUGGAUUGUUGGGAUAGUAGGCUCUGUGCUCUUUUGCAUCGAACUGCUGCACCACAUCCUUUUCAUGGCUCAAGCAUAGCUUCUUGUGCUUGUUAGCUUAUCGUGUUCCUGUAUUUCAUACCCAUGUUGGUGGAACUACGCUUCUAUUUUCGUCGGUCCUCUUGGUGCCUCUUUGGGCAUCGGGUGGAGCAUGUGGUCUGAUCUGUCGAACCUAGCGUGCCGAGUUGGCUGCAACGGUUGUUGGAUCAAGGCUUGUGCUCUCGGAUGUGGAAUAUUCAUAGGUCCAAGGAUUGAAUCCUUGUAUUUGCCCUAUGUGGGAAGAUGUCCCUCGAUAAGGAACGACAUCCUUUGUGCGUUACGAUUUAUCCAACGCUCUCUCGGGGUGUAGGAUACUUUUGUGCGUGCAUCGGUGUCUCUGAAAGAAUGCUACCUGGUUGAUCCUGCCAGUAGUCAUAUGCUUGUCUCAAAGAUUAAGCCAUGCAUGUGA
This 504-nucleotide unclassified non-coding RNA is filed under the name Hiraea fagifolia. RNAcentral describes it as "partial contains external transcribed spacer and 18S ribosomal RNA". The stretch from base 445 to 504 matches the Rfam family "Eukaryotic small subunit ribosomal RNA", at positions 1 to 60 of the family's 1831-position model. The record is from RNAcentral. Lineage: Eukaryota; Viridiplantae; Streptophyta; Magnoliopsida; Malpighiales; Malpighiaceae.